This 467-nucleotide ribosomal RNA is filed under the name uncultured bacterium. Its description in RNAcentral is "bacterial SSU rRNA". It matches the Rfam family "Bacterial small subunit ribosomal RNA", at positions 38 to 507 of the family's 1533-position model. The record is from RNAcentral.
GACGAACGGCUGGGCGGCGUGCUUAAAACAUGCAAGUCGAACGGACUUCUCAUGAAGCUUGCGAUUGAGAAGUUAGUGGCGGACGGGUGAGUAACGCGUGGGCAACCUGCCCCUGAGCCCGGGAUAACAGUUCGAAAGGACUGCUAAGACCGGAUAUACUUGCGGGGAAGCAUUUCACUGCAAGGAAAGGGAACGCUCAGGGAUGGGCCCGCGUCCCAUUAGCUAGUUGGUGAGGUAACGGCCCACCAAGGCGACGAUGGGUAGCCGGCCUGAGAGGGUGAACGGCCACACUGGGACUGAGACACGGCCCAGACUCCUACGGGAGGCAGCAGUUGGGAAUCUUCGGCAAUGGGCGCAAGCCUGACCGAGCAACGCCGCGUGAGUGAUGAAGGUUUUCGGAUUGUAAAGCUCUGUCUUCCGGGACGAUAAUGACGGUACCGGAGGAGGAAGCCACGGCUAACUACGUG